This 834-nucleotide ribosomal RNA is filed under the name uncultured bacterium. RNAcentral's name for it is "bacterial SSU rRNA". It matches the Rfam family "Bacterial small subunit ribosomal RNA", at positions 8 to 853 of the family's 1533-position model. The record is from RNAcentral.
AGAGUUUGAUCAUGGCUCAGGACGAACGCUGGCGGCGUGCCUAACACAUGCAAGUCGAACGGAGUUGAAAGGAGCUUGCUUUUUUCAACUCAGUGGCGGACGGGUGAGUAACGCGUGAGUAACCUGCCUUUCAGAGGGGGAUAACGUUCUGAAAAGAACGCUAAUACCGCAUAAGAUUGUAGUUUCGCAUGGGACAGCAAUCAAAGGAGCAAUCCGCUGAAAGAUGGACUCGCGUCCGAUUAGAUAGUUGGCGGGGUAACGGCCCACCAAGUCGACGAUCGGUAGCCGGACUGAGAGGUUGAUCGGCCACAUUGGGACUGAGACACGGCCCAGACUCCUACGGGAGGCAGCAGUGAGGGAUAUUGGGCAAUGGGGGAAACCCUGACCCAGCAACGCCGCGUGAGGGAUGACGGUUUUCGGAUUGUAAACCUCUGUCCUCUGUGAAGAUAGUGACGGUAGCAGAGGAGGAAGCUCCGGCUAACUACGUGCCAGCAGCCGCGGUAAUACGUAGGGAGCGAGCGUUGUCCGGAUUUACUGGGUGUAAAGGGUGCGUAGGCGGAUUGGCAAGUCAGAAGUGAAAUCCAUGGGCUUAACCCAUGAACUGCUUUUGAAACUGUUAGUCUUGAGUGAAGUAGAGGUAGGCGGAAUUCCCGGUGUAGCGGUGAAAUGCGUAGAGAUCGGGAGGAACACCAGUGGCGAAGGCGGCCUACUGGGCUUUAACUGACGCUGAGGCACGAAAGUGUGGGUAGCAAACAGGAUUAGAUACCCUGGUAGUCCACACUGUAAACGAUGAUUACUAGGUGUGGGGGGUCUAACCCCCUCCGUGCCGGAGUU